This 1038-nucleotide long non-coding RNA is filed under the name Takifugu rubripes (torafugu). RNAcentral's name for it is "lncRNA (ENSTRUG00000029512.1)". Lineage: Eukaryota; Metazoa; Chordata; Actinopteri; Tetraodontiformes; Tetraodontidae. The record is from RNAcentral.
AUGUCACUUCAGACCUUUCGCAUGAUAUCAAGAGUCCUCAGAUUUGACAACAGAGAUACCAGAGCAAGAUCUGACAAGCUUGCCCCCAUCAGGGAUGUAUGGGAGAGAUGGACGCAGCUCCUUCCACUGAUGUUCAACCCAGGGCCAGAGGUGACAGUGGAUGAACUGGUCCUCGAUAUGACUGCUGGACUGCAGGGUCAAAAUAUCACUUGUGACAAAUGUUUUACCAGCUAUGACCUUGGACAAGAACUUCUCAGGAGGAAACUUUCCAUGGUGGGCACAGUGAAGAAAAAUAAACCUGAGCUACCUGCUGCAAUCUUGCAGGUGAAGGACAGGGCUCCACUUUCCUCAAAGUUUGCUUUUACAGACACCACCACUGUUGUCCCAUAUUGUCCAAAAAGAAAACGGAAUGUGAUACUUAUGUUGACUCUUCACAAAGAUGCAGCUGUGUCAUCAGGAAGUGACAAAAAGCCCACAAUCAUCCUCGACUACAACAAAAACAAAGGAGGAGUGGACAACCUGGACAAGCUGACUGCCACCUAUACUUGCCAGCGAAUGACCAGGAGAUGGCCAAUGGUUGUGUUUUACAACAUCCUUGAUGUGUCUGCAUGUAACACAUUUGUGUUGUGGACCCACAUCCACCAAGGGUGGAACUCAACCAAAAAAGCCAAGCGGAGAAUGUUUCUUGAGGAGCUGGGAAAUUCGCUAGUCAAGCCACACAUUGAGCGAAGGGAACCGGUGCCCAGAGAACCAGACGCUGCCGCCUUGGUCAGACCCCUGCAGAGCGCACCUUGCACUCCGUCCACGCCAUCAGCAACACAAAGAGCAUCCGCAACAGCAUCCGCCUCAGCCAGUCCUACCUCAACACCAACCAGAACAGCCACAACCCCACUCAGGCAACCUGAUUCUAAAAGAAAGAGGUGUCAAGUCUGCCCAAGCAGUAAGGACAGAAAGACAAACGUAUUGUGCUUCAAGUGCAGGAAAUAUCUCUGCAAAGAACACACUAAAAGUGUCACUUUUUGCCACACAUGCAUCUAA